RNAcentral lists this ribosomal RNA (939 nucleotides) under uncultured bacterium. RNAcentral describes it as "bacterial SSU rRNA". It matches the Rfam family "Bacterial small subunit ribosomal RNA", at positions 28 to 1011 of the family's 1533-position model. The record is from RNAcentral.
GAUGAACGCUGGCGGUCUGCUUAACACAUGCAAGUCGAACGCAACCUUCGGGUUGAGUGGCGGACGGGUGAGCAACGCGUGAGAAUCUGCCUUGGGGUCGGGGACAACCACUGGAAACGGUGGCUAAUACCGGAUACGCCUUCGGGUAAAAGAUUUAUUGCCCUAAGAGGAGCUUGCGUCUGAUUAGCUAGUUGGUGAGGUAAGAGCUCACCAAGGCAGCGAUCAGUAGCUGGUCUGAGAGGACGAUCAGCCACACUGGGACUGAGACACGGCCCAGACUCCUACGGGAGGCAGCAGUGGGGAAUUUUCCGCAAUGGGCGAAAGCCUGACGGAGCAAGACCGCGUGAGGGAGGAAGGCUCUUGGGUUGUAAACCUCUUUUCUCAGGGAAGAAGCUCUGACGGUACCUGAGGAAUCAGCCUCGGCUAACUCCGUGCCAGCAGCCGCGGUAAUACGGAGGAGGCAAGCGUUAUCCGGAAUUAUUGGGCGUAAAGCGUCCGCAGGUGGCAAUUCAAGUCUGCUGUCAAAGCACGGGGCUUAACUCCGUAAAGGCAGUGGAAACUGAAUAGCUAGAGUGCCGUAGGGGUAGAGGGAAUUCCCGGUGUAGCGGUGAAAUGCGUAGAGAUCGGGAAGAACAUCGGUGGCGAAAGCGCUCUACUGGACGGCAACUGACACUCAGGGACGAAAGCUAGGGGAGCGAAUGGGAUUAGAUACCCCAGUAGUCCUAGCUGUAAACGAUGGAUACUAGGUGUAGCUUGUAUCGACCCGAGCUGUGCCGAAGCUAACGCGUUAAGUAUCCCGCCUGGGGAGUACGCACGCAAGUGUGAAACUCAAAGGAAUUGACGGGGGCCCGCACAAGCGGUGGAGUAUGUGGUUUAAUUCGAUGCAACGCGAAGAACCUUACCAGGGCUUGACAUGUCCGGAAUCCCGGUGAAAGCUGG